RNAcentral lists this ribosomal RNA (763 nucleotides) under uncultured Streptococcus sp. RNAcentral describes it as "bacterial SSU rRNA". It matches the Rfam family "Bacterial small subunit ribosomal RNA", at positions 28 to 776 of the family's 1533-position model. Lineage: Bacteria; Bacillati; Bacillota; Bacilli; Lactobacillales; Streptococcaceae. The record is from RNAcentral.
GAUGAACGCUGGCGGCGUGCCUAAUACAUGCAAGUAGAACGCUGAAGGAGGAGCUUGCUCUUCUGGAAGAGUUGCGAACGGGUGAGUAACGCGUAGGUAACCUGCCUCUUAGCGGGGGAUAACUAUUGGAAACGAUAGCUAAUACCGCAUAAAAGUCGACAUUGCAUGAUGUUGACUUGAAAGGUGCAACUGCAUCACUAAGAGAUGGACCUGCGUUGUAUUAGCUAGUUGGUGAGGUAACGGCUCACCAAGGCGACGAUACAUAGCCGACCUGAGAGGGUGAUCGGCCACACUGGGACUGAGACACGGCCCAGACUCCUACGGGAGGCAGCAGUAGGGAAUCUUCGGCAAUGGGGGCAACCCUGACCGAGCAACGCCGCGUGAGUGAAGAAGGUUUUCGGACCGUAAAGCUCUGUUGUAAGAGAAGAACGAGUGUGAGAGUGGAAAGUUCACGCUGUGACGGUAUCUUACCAGAAAGGGACGGCUAACUACGUGCCAGCAGCCGCGGUAAUACGUAGGUCCCGAGCGUUAUCCGGAUUUAUUGGGCGUAAAGCGAGCGCAGGCGGUUAGAUAAGUCUGAAGUUAAAGGCUGUGGCUUAACCAUAGUACGCUUUGGAAACUGUUUAACUUGAGUGCAGAAGGGGAGAGUGGAAUUCCAUGUGUAGCGGUGAAAUGCGUAGAUAUAUGGAGGAACACCGGUGGCGAAAGCGGCUCUCUGGUCCGUAACUGACGCUGAGGCUCGAAAGCGUGGGGAGCAAACAGG